RNAcentral lists this ribosomal RNA (450 nucleotides) under uncultured bacterium. Its description in RNAcentral is "partial 16S ribosomal RNA". It matches the Rfam family "Bacterial small subunit ribosomal RNA", at positions 338 to 795 of the family's 1533-position model. The record is from RNAcentral.
CCUACGGGGGGCAGCAGUGGGGAAUUUUGGACAAUGGGGGCAACCCUGAUCCAGCCAUUCCGCGUGAGUGAAGAAGGCCUUCGGGUUGUAAAGCUCUUUUGUCCGGAGCGAAACGGGCGGCCCUAAUACGGUCGUCUACUGACGGUACCGGAAGAAUAAGCACCGGCUAACUACGUGCCAGCAGCCGCGGUAAUACGUAGGGUGCGAGUGGUAAUCGAAAUUACUGGGGGUGAAUUUUGCGCAGGGAUGUGAAAGCCCCGGGCUCAACCUGGGAAUGGCAUUUGGGACUGCAAGGCUGGAGUGUGGCAGAGGGGACUAGAAUUCCUGGUGUAGCAGUGAAAUGCGUAGAUAUCAGGAGGAAUACCGAUGGCGAAGGCAGGUCCCUGGGUUAACACUGACGCUCAUGCACGAAAGCGUGGGGAGCAAACAGGAUUAGAUACCCUAGUAGUC